GACAACAGUACAAAAAUCAUUCUAAGAGUAAAAGAAUUUUCUAUACAUUUUUUUUUUCUGAAUAAAAAAGUGAGAUUGAAAAGAAUUAGAGCUUCUUAAAAAGAAAACCUUUUUCCAUGUAAAUGUUGUUUGUGAAUAAUGUGUUUAUUUCUGUGGAGAAGUUGGGUGUUGGGCUUACCACGACUAAAGCUAGUUGGACAAGUGAACGGUACUCGACUCUCCUGACUCAAUGGCGCAGUACGAAAUAGCGGUAGAAUAUUAAACAAAUAAAUAAAAGCAAUAAAGAAACAAUAAAAUGAAAACAAAAAAAGUGACAGAAUCAAGAAAGCGGGAAAAGAACUGUAUUUCAAAUCACAAUAUAUUUCAACCCAUAAGAGUUUAAAAUUCCAGUCUUUGAAAACUUUUUGGAAUAUUCUAAAAAAAUGCUGGUUUUUUUUUGUCUUAAAUUUCUUGCCCUGCAAACUGUGGUAAUAUUUUAUGAAAAACUGCUGAAUAAAGAUGUAUGCAAAUGACUUGAACGCCCAGAAUCUGUGGCAAGAUUUAAAUGGGCUCAAGGCCAUUUUCUCUUGAGUCGAGAAUAACACACUGCACACAUUAUUGUCGUCUCGUUAUCAUCAUCGCAUGCACAUCUUCAAAUGCUGACUGACCUCCUUGUCGUUAAUGGGACCUUGAGAGAGACUGUGUGGGCCAGAUGCUCUCAUUCCACGGCGCUUCUAUAUAUAACUGGCUUAUUAUAAAAACAUUUGAAAUGCCAGACAAUUGCAAAAAACAACAAUGAAAACAAAAAAUGUACGUGAACAAGUGAUAACAGUCUGGCAUGCAAAUGCAGACGCUGCGACGUAACUGCAGCCACAGUCGACCGUCGACGUGGCCGCUGCAUUAUUUGCAACCGGAUGUCUGGUCUGGUCCAGCAUCCAAAAGCAAAAUUUUGACAGUCAUAACAUUCAUAAACAACAACAAAGCAAAUGAGUUGCAUAAAUGAAUUACAACAAUGAAUGAAUUUACAUUUCCACACACACACACACACACACACAUACACAAAUACACGUAGUGCGCCCAAAUCAGCUGACUGAACUGUUUAGUGAUAGCUGUCAGACAUGUGGUCAAACUAACAGUCACACUGCUCGAAACAACAGCCAUCGAAAGAAAUCUAAUUGCACUUGGAGAGUUGCAACUAGGUGGCUAUUCAUUCAUAAAAACCCUGUCGCUCACACACAGAAAAUCAAGCAGCAGCAGCAGCGGCACCACAUGUUAUCCCCCCCAUCCCGCCCCUGCCUGCAGAAAUCAAUUAACCAUCAAAGCCUACUCAGUGUGACAAGCAAACAUAGACGUUGCCAAACACCGUAUGUCAAUGUUGAGAAUUCAAAUUGGAAUUUGUACUGAACUCCCUGGCCCACAUAAUGGUAGCAAAUAAAAGCCAAACAUGAUGGAGAUAGACAAAAAAACAAAUAGAAAUUCAUCAAAAUGGAAAAAUUUAUCGCGCAAAGAGGCCAUCGUUCCUAUGAAACCGUACAAAAAGGCAACGGAAACGGCAGCUAUGACUGCCAAACACACAGAUGGGACAGAAACGUUCGUUUGCCCGUAUGUGUUUGAAUUCAUGGUUGUAUGCUUAAGUCGAAGGAUAAUUUAACUGCAUUGAGGAAUACUACAAACAAAUUACACAUGAACGAGGACAAACUUCAGAAUAACCACAUAGCAGCAGCAACCAAAACAUGUCAUUUGAAAAUUUACAACACAAAGACCAGAAAACUCCUCUACAUAGGUGUCUCGUAAUGUCUCACGUAUGAGACGCAAAGUCAGAAUAUGCUCCUUAAAGUGCUGUUGUCAUGUUAACUGGAAAAACGCCCAAGUUGUUCUUAAACGACACCAGAUUUAUAUCUUAUUGCGGAGAAUAAAGACACUACAAUGCAAUGCUCUGCUACCAGAUGAUUUUUAUGGACGGAUGGUAAUUUACCUUAAAUUACUCAAUUCUUAUUCUGUUAACAAUGCAAUUUCUUGGGAUCAGGAACAUGAAGCAAUCGAAAUUGCCAUAAUGCGCAAAAUACGUCAUUAAUGCAAUGUUACGUGUCCAAAACAAGGCCAAUGGCAAUUCAGGAGAAAAACCAGCUGACUCGCAGAACCAGUAUACUAGAGUGUAUGAUAUGUUGCUUUGAGCAGUUCACUAAAUAUGAAAAUGCAAAUGAAGAGCCCCUUACAAUUGUACAUUAAAUGGUAUGUAU
This is a long non-coding RNA of Stomoxys calcitrans (stable fly), 2219 nucleotides long. RefSeq lists it as uncharacterized. Lineage: Eukaryota; Metazoa; Arthropoda; Insecta; Diptera; Muscidae. The transcript has 13 exons. The record is from RefSeq and is a predicted model, not a curated record.